UGCCCUGAUGAAAAUAGGCCACUGUUUU
This 28-nucleotide non-coding RNA is filed under the name Homo sapiens (human). The record is from RNAcentral. Lineage: Eukaryota; Metazoa; Chordata; Mammalia; Primates; Hominidae.